This 8042-nucleotide long non-coding RNA is filed under the name Zea mays. RNAcentral's name for it is "long non-coding RNA (ZMAY_LNC004286)". The record is from RNAcentral. Lineage: Eukaryota; Viridiplantae; Streptophyta; Magnoliopsida; Poales; Poaceae.
AUUGAAAACUAAUAACUUAAACUGGUUUGUUUUUAGGUGAUGGAUUUAGAGUGUUACAAAAUCUACCCCCUAAAAAGAAUCUCGUCCUCGAGAUUAAGGAAGGCUAGCAAGAAAACAAAGGUGAUAUAUGGUUACUCGUAGGUUCUUGGUUCACACUUUAACUCUUCUAAAUGUAAAGAACUCGUUGUUUCUUUGCUUCGCAGUGAAUACUAACCAGGCGACCUUCAUCAUCGCACUUAUAAAACAGUUGGUCUUCUGAAUUAUUGCUUAGGUCAUGCUUGGCAGCUUUCUUCUUUAGUUGGUCUAGACGCUUCUUGGGGCAUUCGCGAAUAAUAUGUCCUUCAUUUUUUUGCAGUAGUAGCAAGCACCUCUUGCUUUGAGUUCUUUGCGAGUCAACUUUUCUUGACCAACCGGUGAUGAGGGAUGAUUGGGUGUCUGUAUCUCAUAUAGCUGAGUCUGGCUUGAUUCUUCUGUUUGGGUAUCCAUGUGUUUCGAAGUUUUUUGCUCGUGGUUGAGGUGGACCACUCAUAUAUCCAAACAUUUUUCUAUUCCUUUUGUUGUUCUUCACGAUGUUGAUGGAAGUUUCUGUGCAUUUUGGUUCAUAUCCCAUGUCUGGAGACUGAGAUAGCUUUAUCUCGGGGGUGAUCUGUAGUGAACUCUUCUCAGGACAGUUACGGAAGUAAUGACCUUCACGACCACAUUGAUAGCAAGACUUUCUUGAAGUAAUUUCUUGACUUUUUCCAUGUUUCCACUUUUGUUUCUUGGAACUGAUGCGACGACAAGGCUGAAGCUAUGUGCAGGUGAUAGUCCAUCCAUCAAUGUAACACUCAUUUGCUUCUUUUUGGAGCUGGGCAUCCUUGUGAUGUUUCCUUUUUGGAAAACCUGGCAAUUCAUCGUCUGACAGUGUAUCUGCUAUUAGUUGUUCUUGGGAAGACCAUUGACUUUUUAUACCAGAAAAUAAAAUCCGGUUCUUCUGUUUUGUAGUUUCACUUUCGUUCGUACUGAUCUGGCGACAAGGAAUUCCAUAGUACUCACAACAACAACAUGUUCCAAGAUCAUUUGUCUGUUGGUGUGCAUCCUUUUGUUCAUCAGUUGUUUCAUUUCUAGUGAUGUUUUGACUUGCCAACACUUGCUGGUAUGAGGAGGUGAGUUGCGAUACAUUCUGUAUUACAAGAGCUUGUGCAUGUAACAGCGUUUCUAAGUCAACUAUCGAGGGUGAUGUUGUGGUUGAUGUCAUAUGGUUAUCAGUAGUCUGCUCAUGUGCUAUAAAUUCUGCUAAAUCAACUUGUUGGAGUCUAGCUACCACUUGAGAUGUUGCUUGCAGAAACUGAGCAUGUCCCUUCUUGAACUGUUCCAUCUGAUCCUUAGCUAGAGGAGUUGCCAACACAAUGUAUUCUUUGCACUUAGUGACAUCACUUGCAGUUGACAUUCCAAGGACUGACAUCUGUAUGGGUAUGGAAGAAUGGAAGGGACGAGAGGGUUGAGCAAAGACAGAUUAUAGAGGGCAGAGAAAACCCAUCUAUCUAAGGUUUUACCUAGCUAACUGAUGUCAUUGUGGACAAAAGUCACACAAUACACCAACAAUCAUUUCAAAGAAGCAAAUCAAACAUGAACACAAAGGACAAUGAAUUCAAGCAUACCAGCACAACACAAUCCAAUUCUACUUAUUCAACCAAAACAAAAGGUGAGACAAGGUUUGGAAUAAGAAAGAUAUUAUAAAGUCAAGGAGUCAGGUAAGAAUUAUCAAGGAGUUAGACAAGACCAAAACAUUAUUGUUAAUGACCAAUAAUGAAAUAAGAUAACCACAACUGGUGAAGCGAGGAUAAAUUAUACAACCAAGGACAUGAGAAAGUUUUUUUUUCUUUUUUUAAGGAUACAAAAUACAAGGGCAUUAUCAAGUAGAGAGACAAAGGGUUCAAUAUCUCGAGGUAGAUAUUGUCCAAGGAUGACAAUACAAUGGCAAGAAAACAAAAGUAUAAGAAUUCAAUAGGGAGAAAGCAUUAUCAAGGAGAAAAGUAGAGAGGCAAAAGUUUAUUAUAUCAAGGUAGAUAUUGUCCAAGGAUGACAAUACAAUGGCAAGAAAACAAAAGUAUAAGAAGUCAAGGGUUAUAUAGCAAUAUUAGGGAUUAGAAAACCACUAUAAUAUAAUGUCGUCUUUACCGAUCUAGUCGAAAAUCUUAAUACUAAAGAAUAAUCCUAUCAACCUAGCCAAGAAGUCAAAUAAUAGAUCCAGGGGAUCCAGAACAAAACUUCUGCAGAGUGGGGAUAAGAUAGAGAAUAGGGCAUCGUCGAUAGCUUCGAGAGGGUUUCUUCUGGCAAACUUCGCUUCAAGUUCUGCAAUCUUAGCUUGAUCAUCUUGCAAUGCUUCUCAUUAGAACCUUCUGAUAGACGAAGAAUCAGACAAGAAGGGUUGAAGAUAAAAGAGACGAGUUUUUGUAUAAAGUAAGUUUUUAUGGAGACAAUUAAGUCAAGUUUUGAAAGACUGACUGGGCUUUCCAUUUCUAUCUAAUCUAGCGACCUACGGUCACAUUGCUUUGAUACCACUUCUGUCACACCCGUUUCCAAGGGGCAGAACCGGGUGCAUAGCAUAUGUGCGCCAGGAUCUAUUUCCACACAUAUGUUGACGUCACAAGUGUAAUAUAUCAAAAGAACAAUGCAUAAAAGUGUAAAUAACGAUUAUAUUACACUUUGAACAGACAUAAUGUCUUAACCUUUAUUCAUCAAAGUACAGGGAAACAAGGACAUCCAUCCACAGGAAGAUGACCGGGGUAUCACUAGACUAGCAUCCAUGGAGUUCAGCAUCAUAUCUUCAUCUGCAAACUUCUGAUCAAAAUUAAGCAAGGGUGAGCUCACUUAUGGUCGGGGCUCAGCAAGUGGGGGUAAAACUAAUGCAAGGUCUAACAAGGUGAGGCUAAGGUUGAGCAGUAAGCAUUUUAGUUGGUCAACAUUUUAUUAACAACACCUGUCUUACUAAUAAGUGUGAAUCCCAAGUAUUCCCAUUAAACAAAGGUAUAAGAGUAUAUCAAAAACACUUAAGUGAAACAACUUACGCAAACCAUUGGUAGAUCAUCGGAUCUCGAUUUAUUUCCAUCUUCAAGUUCAAUUAUCAUGUGAGGAGUCCAGGCUGCUCAUAACCGUGAGCACGGCUGAUAUAUCAGUUUUACACUCUGCAGAGGUGGCGCAUCUUUACCCAUGAGUCGUGAUUCCCUUCUAGCCCGGGUUAGCUAGACCCGUAUUCACUUCCGAGGUGAAUGGCUAGGGUCUCACUACGAGGCUUCUCCCUAGAGUCCUCAUUACGCAAAUGCUGGAAAUGGUCAAACUGCAUAAGGCACACCUACCGUAACCAACUUAUAGUCCAGACUACAGGGUAAAGCUUUGGGAACUAUGCCCGUAUCCAAUCUGCCUGAGCCGGAACUAUAAGAGCUUGCCAGAUGCCCCCGUUCCUGUCGACCACGACCAGCACCCAACAUAAGACAUCCCUAGUUAUUUAGCCAAGAUCAGAGCCAUGAUAGUUCUCAUGGUAGCACUAUUUUCCCGGGUGGUCACUCCAUGUUCCAAUUAAUAUGCAAUAAUCGUUUUUAACCAUCGGGUUAACAACAAUAAUGUAAACUUACCAUUUGGAACAUUAAUAUCAUAAACAGGAGUGACUGCAUAAAGUUUAAGUUGUAGCAAUAGCAUAGCUACUAAGGUAAAGUAUAAUACCCAGGUUUGAUCAAGGAAUAAGAUUGGAAAGGUUAUCUAAAUAGGUAACCCAUCAAGUUAUGCAUAUAUAUCCAAAAGAGUAAACUUUAUUAAAUGUAUUGUUUGGGAUCAAACAGAGUAUGCAGAGGGAGAAGUCCACUUGUCUUGCUUAUUGAAAACUUGAGACUCUUCCACGAAUCUGAAUAGAUCUUGAUUCAUAACUACUAGAUCAACCACUGAAUAUCACACAAACAAACAAUAAGAGCAAACAUCAUUCAAUAACAUACAACAUUCACCAUACGUAAAGCUAAAAGAAAGCCUAACGAAAAGAGCGUUCGCUUUUCAAAAACAUCACACGCAAGGGUUAUAAUAAAAAGGUAUUCUUUUCAAACAUGUGAUCUAUACUUAAUAAAAUAAGACAUGAGCUUAAAAUGUCUUAAUUAAACUAUACAAAUAUUAGGUUCACUAAUUUAAUCUUUUAUAAAACGUCAAACGCGAUACGUCUAAGAUAAAGGAUUUAUAAGACGAUAAAACACGUUAUAACGAUAUUAAACAUUUUUAACCUUUUAGAAUAGUUAUAAGUUAUAUAUCUAUGGUUAAUGCGUUAUGAAAUACAUUGUUAAUUUAUGAAGCAUUAUGGAACAUAUAAUUCAUUGUUAAACCUAUCACUUAUGAUAAAUUAAGAUAUAGGUCUAAAUAGGUUUUAUGUGAAAAGAUCAUUAUUAUUACACACCUAUUUUAUGAAAAACUAGGUUAUAGGCCCUUAAGUGGAUUUUCAUGCAAAAGAUAAUGAACAAAUGACUAUCUUUUAUUUUUAUUAGAAAGUACAUGGCCUAUAUUCUUUAUUAAAAUAGCUAUAUACAAAACAAUAUGUAAACUAACAUUUUUAGUUAUUAUAAAAGAACAUGAACACUAAUUUCAUUAUUUUAUUCUUUAGGAGAAACUAAGUGAUUUAUACAACAUGGCCUAAAUGUGAUGCAAUGAUUAAUCAAGCCUAUAUAACUAGUUAUGCAGAAGUUGAUAAUAGGUUUAACUAAUAAAUUAUGAGAAAGGAUACUUAAUCUUUUAAUUAUCUUUAGUUUUAAUUUAGGAACAAAUGAUCUAUAUCGUUAAAAAGAAACUAUGUUCAACAAUAUACAAACUAUUUUUGUUACUAAUAUUAUGAAGACGUGAGCACUUUAAAUAAGCGAUUUUAACUUCAUUUGAAAACUUUAUUCUUUCUUAGUGUGAACAGACAAUAUUUAUGCAUAUAACACUUUUAUUAUAAAUCUGAAUAACAUUUUAUGAGUAAAGAUAAUCAUAUAAUUAUUUAUCUAAUGUUUUUGUUAUGAAAAUGUGGUCUAAAAUUCCUUUUAACUUCAUACUUAGAAAACUGCGUAUAAAUUUACUUUGAUUCAAAUAAAUUUUAUGAACUUAAAAAUUGAUGAAAAACAAUAAUUAAAAUGAUUAAUCACAUUUUUAUAAAAUUAGUAAAUUUAUAAUUAAUUUAUUGGAACACUAAGUAUUACUUUUUUAUAUAUAACUAAGUUUAGCGCAAUGGCUAGAUCAUAAUUAUUUGCAGAAUAUAUGGUAGUAUGAAAGGUGGGCUUUCUUCUACCUUUGGUCGGCACAGAGCAGAGACGGCUGGGCACCGGCGAUGGGGCUUCAUCGAGGUUGAUGGCAACAAACAGAUGACGACCGACGAACAUGGACAGACGACGUCGUGGCGUUGAACAACGACGAGUGCGACAGCAGCAGUGGCAAGUACGACACGGCAACGGCGGGGCACUCAGCGAUGUGUGGUGUGACAACGGCUGAAGUUCCGUCGAUGGUGCGGUAGUAGCAGAGAGCAGCACGAUGAUGACACGAACAAGUGCUUGGCGCACAGCAAUAGGGAGCAGGGGCUUCGGCGACGGAUCGGCGGUGCUCGAGGUGAACUUCAACGAGCUGUGUUGACAACAGCUAGAAGGCGAACACAACGACAGUGCGGAUAACAGGCGCGCGAGUGACAAAUGAUGGUGAGGGCGACAGCUUUGAUAGGGACGAAGGCGAGGAGGCUGUGUGAGCAGAGUAGGAUGUUGGUGUCACGGUGGCGAACUCCGGCGAGGUCGAUGUGCAAAACAGAGACCAGCUGGGCGCGUGGGCGACGAGCGGCAAUGGCACAGCAAUACGCUGUCGCGAGGCGAGCAACGGCGUGGCUCUGCGCAGUGGGCGAGCAAUAAAGAGGAGGAAUGGCGAGCAGGGGCAGGGGCUCGGCAGCGCUUUAUAGCCACGGGCUAGCAUACGAGAGGGCGUCGGAAGGAGAAACGGCGCUGCACAAAUGCUCGGCAUCUAUUGAAGGUAGCUGGUGACUGGACAAGAAACUGACGUGGUUAAUGGAGAGGAAUUAGUCACGAGAAACUGUCACGACGAGUAACGGGCGUGGGACAGCUAGGCACCGAGUGCGGUGCGGUAGUCCACUGCCUGGGAUGCAAGCAGGCGGGGAAGACAAAGCAGCAGUGGCAGGCGACGAGAAGGCAGAUUGCGGCGACAACACUGCCUAGACCCGUUCGAACAGACGAACAGAGAAGAACACUGGAGCAGCAGUGGGAUCCACCUGCCAUUGAAAGAAAGAAAAAGAGAGAGACCCACGAGUAAGUGAAAGAGAGGAGGAAAGGUGAGAUGCCUCCUGCUGGUUGAGUGGGGUGAGCUUGAGGGGUCGGCUAGACUAGGAAGCUCAUCCGUUCAUUUUGCAGUUUUGUUUUUUUUCGAAAUUCAUUUUUUUUCUUUUUUUCUUUUCUUUUCUGUAGAGAAAGAAUAUAUAUAAUAUAUAAUUAAAAAUCCAGAAUAAAUAUAAUUUUAUUAUUAACUUAAUAAAACUUAUUUCGUAAAAAUUAUUUUAAGAGAAUUUUAUUAUUUAAAUAAAUGGCUCUUCUCAUAAUGAAAUAAAAACAAAUAGAAUUUUGUAUUUACUUACAAACUAAAAGUAUUAAUAUACAUAUUUUCCAAAAAUAUUAUUUUAGCACUACAUUAUUGUUUUGUAAAAAUGAGAUUUUUCUUCACAAGAUCAAAUCCAUAAAUUGAAUUUGCAAAUCAAUUCAAACAAAACAUAUGCUUCGGCAUGAGUGCAACAAACAAUUGGUAAAUUUAUCCAAUCACGAAAUUAUUCAAUAUAUUUAUAUUACCAUUUUAUUAUUAGAAAUCAUAAGUAUUUUCCCUUUUUAUUGAAAACUAAUAACUUAAACUGGUUUGUUUUUAGGUGAUGGAUUUAGAGUGUUACAAAUUGUCAUAUCCUUAGUUAAGAAUAUGUGAGCUUUCCACCUCUCUCUAAAUGCGAGUUUGCAUGGCAUAUCAUUACAUGAGUAUUCAUAUACUUCUAAUUGACUUGUAGAGCACAUAGAUGAAGAAUUCUAAGUGGAAGUGGAAGAGGAGUCUGCUCCUACAUCUGAAACUGCUCCAACUGAAGUUGUCUUUGAAGGUCCUCCAGAAGGUGCCCCGAUAGGGUUUGCUGCUAACUCCAAUAUCCUAGUAGAAGAGUCUGACUCUCCUCCUCAUCAAGGCAAGCCCCGGUGCAUUUUCCACCUCCUUGUUGUAUUUAAACUUUUAUCACUUAUAUGCUGCAUUAGGUAGUAGGAGUUGAAUGAUUAAACCUUUGCUGCAUAACUUCCUUGAAUUAUUGAUUAUCGUCCUUGAUACCUGAUUUGAAAAGCUAGAUAUGCUUAAUAUGCUUAUACACAAGGAACAAAAUGUUUUGAUGUAUGAAUCAUAUUUUUACAAAGAAAAAGAGACUGGAGUGAUGAAGGUAUCAAAGGCCUUGAUGACUUCAUCAUUUCAGAAGGGUACCUCUGACAGGAACCAGGUUUUUUAGAAAUAGUUAAAUGUGAGACCAGACGUUGAGCAUGAAAGGUUGCCCGUCUUUGUCGUUUAAGGACCGCAUGAUUGUUGGCCUGCUGAUCUAGGACCCUUUAACUGGCCACAUGCCUCAUCAUGGGUAAGCUUAGCCUCGGUCGGACCAAUAACAGAACAGCUCGCACACACUGGGAGUGGAGAGAUGGCGGGAGUAACGUGUGCCCACCUGGCAAGUGGCUGGAUGGUGGGGUACUAUGCUCUCAGGUCGCGUGAACCCAUUCUGGUCUUGAGAAACCUGGGUGCGAGUUGACAUAUGCAAGGGUUAAGUGCUACAUAUGUCAUGUGGUUGGAGAUCCCCAGCUGGGUAUUAAUCGAUUCGGAUCGUCGAACUUCUCAGAUAUGAAGACUGGAUCUUCGACCCUCAUCGUAGAUAACAAGUGAAACUAAAGCUGCUAAAAUGAAGCUAGCGUAGGACAAGUGAUUGCUCUAGAUUAGGCAAAUCUAGAUUCAGGAAAAGUACUUAACCUGCAAAGUAAAAGUGUGGCAUACACUAC